GCCUUUGCCAGUGACGUUGUGCUGAACAAUAAAACCCAAGAAGGCGAGCAUAGCCAAGCGGCCAUUGGCAAGCUCCUUCUCCUUGGCCUCAAGAGUGGGGGCGAAGUUGAGGGGGUUGAAGAUGCCACCAGGGUAGCCGACCUCGUUGGGGGGGAGGCUGUACUGCUUGAAGAUGGGGUCUUGGUUCACACUCCCAGGGUUCUUGAUGUCCUGCCAUCUCCUGAUCUCAACGUAAUGGAAGAGUAUGAACUCUAUCACAAACAGGGUCGACGAAGACGCGAAGUACUCCUCCUUCCCUGCGUCGUACCAUUUCGGAACAUUUAUGAUCCCUAUGCUCGUGAACACCUCCGGCAGCAGCAUCCCUGCCACCCCCAGCAUCGCCCACCUCCCGUUCACCAGCUCUGCCUGUACGAACCACUUCAGGUUCUCUGGGUCCUCUGCUAGCCCCAACGGGUCGAAUCCAUUGUCUCCCGG
Molecule: long non-coding RNA, 474 nt
Filed under: Arachis ipaensis
Lineage: Eukaryota; Viridiplantae; Streptophyta; Magnoliopsida; Fabales; Fabaceae
Description: long non-coding RNA (AIPA_LNC000498)
Source: RNAcentral